Molecule: ribosomal RNA, 611 nt
Filed under: uncultured fungus
Lineage: Eukaryota; Fungi
Description: eukaryotic LSU rRNA
Rfam family: 5.8S ribosomal RNA (bases 201-354)
Source: RNAcentral
UCCGUAGGUGAACCUGCGGAAGGAUCAUUACCUUUCAAUGCAGAAGAGUUGGGAUGGUUGAGUAUCUCGCCUCUCAAUUCUCGCUGUAUGUUACCCUUGUUUUUCUCAUACUAUUAUUUCCUCGGCAGGCUCGCCUGCCGGGUGAAACAACUUCAAACCUGUUUAAUUUUCAAUCAGCGUCUGAACAAAUUAAUAAUUACAACUUUCAACAACGGAUCUCUUGGUUCUGGCAUCGAUGAAGAACGCAGCGAAAUGCGAUAAGUAGUGUGAAUUGCAGAAUUCAGUGAAUCAUCGAAUCUUUGAACGCACAUUGCGCCCCUUGGUAUUCCAUGGGGCAUGCCUGUUCGAGCGUCAUUUGUACCUUCAAGCUCUGCUUGGUGUUGGGUGUUUGUCCUUGCUCUAGUGGCGGGACUCGCCUUAAAGUAAUUGGCAGCCAGUGUUUUGGUUUUGAAGCGCAGCACAAGUCGCGAUUCAAGUCUAUACGCUAGUUUCCACAAGUCUUUUAUCACUUUUGACCUCGGAUCAGGUAGGGGAUACCCCGCUGAACUUAAGCAUAUCAAUAAGCGGAGGGAAGUCGGACUGGCCAAGGGGCACACCAGGGGGGGGGGAUA